Molecule: ribosomal RNA, 253 nt
Filed under: uncultured bacterium
Lineage: Bacteria
Description: partial 16S ribosomal RNA
Rfam family: Bacterial small subunit ribosomal RNA
Source: RNAcentral
UACAGAGAUGACAACCGUUAUUCGGAAUCACUGGGCUUAAAGGGCACGUAGGCGGUGAGUUAAGUUGGCUGUGAAAUACUAUGUUUUAAGCAUGGAAGGUCAGCCAAGACUGACUUGCUUGAGGAUGACAGGGGAGAGUGGAAUUCCUGGUGGAGCGGUGAAAUGCGUUGAUAUCAGGAGGAACAUCGGAGGCGAAGGCGACUCUCUGGGUCAUUCCUGACGCUGAGGUGCGAAAGCUAGGGGAGCAAACGGG